UAGUUGAGGGGAUUCUCCAAUUCAUUUGAAGGUCAGAGAUGGGAUUUCAAGCAACAUGCCAAGUGCAGGACUUGGCAAAAAUCUUAUUUCAUCUUCUCUUAGGUUUUCACUUGGGAAAAGUUUUCUACGUUCUCCAGCUUUGCAGCUAAUGAAUUGAUGAUUUCUUUGGACUUAUCUUGGAUUCCACUGAGAUUAAUGCCGCUGCAAGAUGAGCUCGAACAAUGUAGCAUCAGGCUGCAGGUUAGCUCAAUUAUUCCAUCUGCAAGUGCAGAUGGUAUUUUAGACGUGAAUCAAAAUUUGAUGUUCACACAUAUCUAUCUGCUUACCCAAUGAUGCCAGUGACAGGACAAACUAUGUGAGAAACAGAGGAUUAAUGAAAAGAAAGAUGUUCCCAUAGAUUUCAUGGAUCAACACUCCUAAAGACAGGUAAGUUUCUUAACCUUGGCCAUCAUGCAUACUUGGCUGUUCAAUAUAAUAUGUUAUGAAUCCAUCAUACACCAAAGGUAAAAAGACUCGAUGAAGAGCUUGAAGGCCAAGGCUUUGUGAGGACAUGAAGGCAUGUGGAAUAUAAUAGUGGCUUGGAAGAUAUCUCUGUCUGAUCCUUUCUCCCACAUGAAACUACUUGUUUUCCCAUUCAACAUCUACUGCAUAAUUAAAAUUAUUGCAUGCAUUAGUUUAUAUAUAUAUAUAUAUAUAUAUAUAUAUAUAUAUAUAUAUGCCUCCAAAAAUAUUAUGACCGUCGGAUUAGACCAGGAUUGGUUGAUCUGGUGGACCUGGUCCAUCCAAGAAUAUUUUCAGGAAGCCACAGGAUCCAAUGGCUAGGCUUCAGCCACGUUGAGCUUUGGAUCCCACAACGCCGGCCUUUUGGGUCCCGCGGAGUUGGGCCCGUGGGGCCCAGCUAGAACAUAUAUAAUGCUGGUACUCGCACGAGUCAAGAGAGAGAGAGAGAGAGAGAGAGAGAUGGUGGUGGUGGAGAUGGCGGAGGCGAACACGAACACCUGCUUCCGUGGCUGCUGCAGCAGCUCCUCCAUCCCCCUCCACCUCCCAGCCUCCUCGUUCUCCCUCCUCUCCCCCAUCGCCAAAGGUGCCGAGAGCACCGUCUACGAGGCGAGGCUCCACGAUGGAACCAGGGUCGCCGCCAAGAAACCCGUCCUCUCCACCGCCGACGACAUCGACCGUUUCCACCGCCAACUCCAGCUCCUCUGUAAGCUGGAUCACCCGGGGCUAGCGAAGUUGGUGGCGGCGAACGCCAGGCCGCCCAACUACCUGCUCUUCUUCGAGCACUACGAAUCGAGGAGCGUGGCCGAGAAGUUGCAUGUCGAGGAGUGGAGCCCUAGCGUUGAUCAAGUGAUCGCCAUCGCUUAUGACCUAGCAAAAGCUCUUCAAUACCUACACAGCCUUGGAAUUGUACAUAGAGAUGUUAAACCUGCAAAUAUUCUUCUUGACAGGAACCUUUAUCCACACCUAGCUGAUUUUGGUUUGGCCACAUAUAAAAAGGAUCUUAAACAUGUAUCAGUUGAGAAUUGGAGAUCAACUGGCAAGCCUACCGGUGGAUUUCACAAAAGGAACAUGGUGGGAACUCUCAUCUAUAUGGCGCCAGAAAUUCUAAGGAAGGAUAUUCACACAGAGAAAUCAGAUGUAUACAGUUUUGCAGUAUCUAUCAAUGAGCUUCUUGCUGGAGUUGUUCCUUACACAGAUCUACGAGCAGAAGCCCAGGCCCACACAGUGCUUGAAAUGAGCUACACCGAACAACAACUUACAGCAGCAGUUGUUUCCAGUGGUUUGCGGCCUGCUCUCGCUAACCCUGAAUCUGGUGCUCCGCCAAGUCUAUUAUCUCUUAUUGAAAGGUCUUGGGAUCAAAAUCCUUUGAAUAGGCCUUCUUUUGAUGAUAUAGUCAAGGAAUUGUACUCACUCAUGAAGCAUAGAGACAUAUCUAGUUUACCAUUAUUUACUCCCAAUGAUCAAUGUCAAGACAGCAACGAUGACCUCAAAUAUAUUCAAGAAGAUUUGAAUUGGUUAUCUCGUGGAGAAGAAGUAGCCAAGAAAGCACUUGCUGAAAAAUCAAAUAUUACAUCCUGGUCUAGUUCUGUUCAUGAUUCUCUACAGUACAAGCCAGUUUUGUCUUGGGGAUCAUUUGCAACAUGUGGAAGAAGGGAGAAAAUGGAAGAUGCACAUUUCAUGCUUCCACACCUGUGCAAUGAGAAGGAUGUUCAUGCUUUUGGAAUCUUUGAUGGUCAUCGAGGUGCAGCAGCUGCUGAAUUUUCUUCUAGAGCACUGCCAGGAUUCCUACGGAAUUCUGAUUAUAUAUGCAGUCCUGCAGAUUCACUUAUUGAAGCUUUUCUAAAGACGGACUUAGCAUUCAGGGAUGAGCUAGUGUUGCACUGUAACUCGAGAAGAAUUACUCAGAAAGAUUGGCAUCCUGGUUGCACGGCAGUUACAGCACUAAUAGUGGGGAACAAAAUUUUUGUUGCAAAUGCUGGUGAUUGUCGGGCAAUUAUAAGUCGUUCAGGCAGGCCAUUUCCAAUGAGUAAGAGCAACAUCAGUUAUCAUGCCUUACUGAUAUUGGUAGGAUCAUGUUGCAAGCUGUCCUGAGGAAAGAAUGCGUGUCAUGGGAGAAGGUGUCGAAGUGAAAUGGCAAGUAGAUACAUGGAGGGUUGGACCAGCUGCACUUCAGGUUACACGAUCAAUUGGUGAUGAUGAUCUAAAGCCUGCAGUAACAGCGAAUCCUGAGAU
This is an RNA transcript of Musa acuminata AAA Group (dessert banana), 2733 nucleotides long. It is a transcript of the gene named protein kinase and PP2C-like domain-containing protein, with no coding region annotated. Lineage: Eukaryota; Viridiplantae; Streptophyta; Magnoliopsida; Zingiberales; Musaceae. The transcript is spliced from 13 exons. The record is from RefSeq and is a predicted model, not a curated record.